AAAAAGGAGACACAUUGACCUGGAGUUUCCCCGCUUAGACAAUUUCAUAUGGUUCAACUUAUCCGCACUUUGUCCAGUAGGUCACAUGAUAGGAGAUGGCAGUCUCCUGCCAUCUGGCAAAGGUCACAAGGCAGGAGGGGCCUGGUCCAGGAUGUCCCAGCCAUGGGACACAGAUGGCUAGUGGCAGCCACAGGAGGAGAAUGACUUGUCCCUGCAUGCAGGAAACCUGGAGAAAUGCACGCAGCCAAGCUUGUACCCACGCUGUGCCACUCAGAAGGAACCGAAAACUCAGCACUGCACAUGGCCGAGCAGACCAAAAGCGACUGCGAGGGAAGACGUUCAGCCCAGAAGUGGAAGUGAGCUGCCGCUAAGGCUUUCGGGGAAUGUAGUCCCCUAGCUGUGCCACAUGUCCCUGCAUUCAGGAGGUGCUCUCUUGACAUGUG
Molecule: non-coding RNA, 443 nt
Filed under: Pongo abelii (Sumatran orangutan)
Lineage: Eukaryota; Metazoa; Chordata; Mammalia; Primates; Hominidae
Source: RNAcentral